Long non-coding RNA from Poecilia latipinna (sailfin molly), 152 nucleotides. RefSeq lists it as uncharacterized. The record is from RefSeq and is a predicted model, not a curated record. The transcript has 3 exons. NCBI's taxonomy places the organism in Eukaryota, Metazoa, Chordata, Actinopteri, Cyprinodontiformes, Poeciliidae.
GGCAUCUUGUUUCUUAAAAUCCAAAUAAGCUGCUGCUGGUCACAACCCCCAACUCAACAUUCACACUCACAUGUAAAAUUGGCUGCAAAUAGAUGCGCAAUUUCACAACCGUACAUCUUUGAAAAGCAGACGUAGAGCCUCCUGCACAACCA